Molecule: ribosomal RNA, 664 nt
Filed under: uncultured bacterium
Lineage: Bacteria
Description: bacterial SSU rRNA
Rfam family: Bacterial small subunit ribosomal RNA
Source: RNAcentral
CGCGGCCUAUCAGCUUGUUGGUGGGGUAAUGGCCUACCAAGGCAAUGACGGGUAGCUGGCGUGAGAGCGCGACCAGCCACACUGGGACUGAGACACGGCCCAGACUCCUACGGGAGGCAGCAGUGGGGAAUAUUGCGCAAUGGGCGAAAGCCUGACGCAGCGGCGCCGCGUGGGGGAGGAAGGACUCAGGUUUGUAAACCCCUGUCGGGUGGGACGAAUCCCGUAGUGUCGAAUAGGCAUUACGAAUGACGGUACCACCAAAGGAAGCUCCGGCUAACUCAGUGCCAGCAGCCGCGGUAAUACUGGGGGAGCGAGCGUUGUUCGGAAUUACUGGGCGUAAAGGGCGCGUAGGCGGCUUGGUCAGUCGCGUGUGAAAGGCCGGGGCUCAACCCCGAGCACUGCACGUGAUACUGCCUGGCUCGAGAGAGGUAGAGGCGAGCGGAAUUCCCGGUGUAGCGGUGGAAUGCGUAGAUAUCGGGAGGAACACCUGUGGCGAAGGCGGCUCGCUGGACCUUUUCUGACGCUGAAGCGCGAAAGCGUGGGUAGCAAACAGGAUUAGAUACCCUGGUAGUCCACGCCGUAAACGAUGGGUACUAGGUGUUGGGAGGAUUGACCCUUUCAGUGCCGGCGCUAACGCAUUAAGUACCCCGCCUGGGGAGUACGG